AAUGAUCAAUCAAUUGUAAAAAAAAUAUGUCAUAUAGUUUUGUAUUUUUCUUCUGAUUUUCUUCUUUUUAGAAAAUUCAAGAUAGGCUUAAACAUGUUAAAUGAGUUCAUUAAUCAUGUAUAACUAUUUAUUAAAAUAUCAUUACAAAAUUGUUAAAAUUUCUUAAAAAUUUGCUAUAAUAUUUAUUUUUGAGUUCAGUUGAUAGUGGAAGGGAGCAGGACAAAGGGAUUGUCUUUCCCAGUGGUCUUUUUUUUUGGCGAACAAGAAGUGUGUCUGCUUAGUUACUUGUUAAUUAGUGUUUCUCAGAUAUCUAGUAUACUUUAUUACCAAAAGUAUACAAAAUGUAAGACCUCAAAAGAAAUAAACACACAUCUAAAGAUGAUUAAUUUAUUGUAGUUUCAUGGCUUGUUACUUAUAUCUUUUUCUGGUGCUAUUUUCUGAUGCCAAAAUACAUAUGUAUAAAAGUUUUUAUAGGUUCUUUGUGAUAAAAU
Molecule: long non-coding RNA, 491 nt
Filed under: Mytilus galloprovincialis (Mediterranean mussel)
Lineage: Eukaryota; Metazoa; Mollusca; Bivalvia; Mytilida; Mytilidae
Source: RNAcentral